UCCGCCGCGCUCUCAGAAGGCACGCAGACGCGGCUCCGCCCCUAACUCCUCCUUCUGUGGCGGAGGCGUCUCCCACCGCCGCUCAACCCCGGAAGUGUCCGCGCGCAGCUGUCCUCCCACCGAGUUGGCUUUUCGUUAGUGUCUUACUCUGUUCCAGUUGGAUAAUGGGAGACUUUAAGUGCAACUGGAGAGUGGGACGAGGGGAUGGUGGCUGGUUGAGGAGUUUCCACUCUGAAGAAUAUAAUAGGAUCCAGAGUCCUCCCCCACCCUUGAGAAUUAGAGCCAAGGUUGGGCCUCCUUGGGCACAGCCGUAACAGGUGGACCCAUCUCCUAGACACUGGCUACAAAGGAUGACACUGGACACAAAAGAAGUCAGAACUCUGGGAAGAGAGAAGAUCUCAGGAUGCCUAGCAAGAAAUGAUGCUGUGCAGGCUGAUCUGACUGAGUAAAACAAAAAUGUAUUUGA
Felis catus (domestic cat) is the source of this 466-nucleotide long non-coding RNA. RefSeq lists it as uncharacterized. The transcript has 2 exons. The record is from RefSeq and is a predicted model, not a curated record. NCBI's taxonomy places the organism in Eukaryota, Metazoa, Chordata, Mammalia, Carnivora, Felidae.